Molecule: long non-coding RNA, 462 nt
Filed under: Monodelphis domestica (gray short-tailed opossum)
Lineage: Eukaryota; Metazoa; Chordata; Mammalia; Didelphimorphia; Didelphidae
Description: lncRNA (ENSMODG00000051577.1)
Source: RNAcentral
AACCUGAAAGGAGUUCAGAAUAGCAAGGGGACUUCAAAAGUCACACCUGGAAGUCCGAUCCUCUCUUCAACAUGCCCAAUACAUGGUCAACCAGCUUCCCCUCAAGGAGCUCAAGAUGAGGGAACUCACUACUUUCAGCUGUUCAUCUGUGGGGAGAAGGAAACAGCAAGCCACUCCAGUAUCUUUGCCAAGAAAACCUCAAAUUGGAUCAUAAAAUGUCAGACAACUGAAAUGAUGAAACAACAACAAUCAACUUGGCAACUGUGUGGAGGAUGGAAUAGUGAAGGGAAAAAUUGGAAUCUAGAAGACCAAGAAGACAACUGCUAUUGUAAGCCAGAAAAAAAAAAGGUAAUGAGGACCUCAAUUAGGAAAAGACAUGUGAAUUGGGAGAAGGGAAUGGAAUACAAAAGGCAGCUAUAUAUUUUUUAAGCACUACAAUAAAACAAAAAGAUAAUAAUUACA